AUUCUAGGGGUUAUAAAAAAAAAUCAAAAUGUAUUUAUAAAGAAACCUUUAAAUAAUAUUUUAAUUAAUAGUCAUAAUUAUGAUUAUUAUUAGAAAUAUCAAACAUUUAAGUGGAUUUUCUGUUACACGUAUUGUCUUAGCCCUGCGAUAACUGGCAGCCUGUCUUUGUCCUGUAUCAGCUGGGAUAGGCUUCAUCCUCCCGCGACCUUGAAUUGGAUACAUGAAUUGUAUUGAAUUGUAUUCCAAUUAUGUAAUCUGAUCAUUUACAAACUCAAGGUAUCCAAUCAAAAUGUAAGUAAUAAUGAUAAAAAUGGGAAAGCAGAAAUAAGUGUGACAUGAAUGUAAAUGUGUGAGCUGACAUAGAGGACAGCUACAUGUAGUCUGAAAAACCUUUGUUGUCAAAUUUGCAGGUAUAUCAGCACGAGACAUUCUUACAUAGAAGAGUCUGUUAAAGUCUCUAACUCAGUGAAGCAUUAUUGGUCCCGUCUGUUUGGAUAAAUAUAGUAAGCUGAUGUAUGUGCAUUUAUUGACACAUUUUCUUAAGUGCUUAUCCAGUUCAGGAUCACAGUGGAGCUGCAGCUGGAUGUGUUCAGUAAAGAAACCUUACAAAAGUUAACAAUAAACCUGCAUUUAUGUACGUUGUUGUCCACAGGAUGAGAAAAUCAAACUGGAAGACUGUGGAACAUGUUAAUAAAUGUUUGUGUUUAUGCCUGUGUCUUUCACAGGAGGCACUGAAAGGUUUCCCUAAUAGUUCCUGAUGAAUCAAAGCAGAACCAUAAAGGUUGCUGGACUACAUGAUGGCCUUACCCCUGAGCAGUCAUCCUGUUAAAGGAGGAACCAGUUAGAAGCUGUUUUCAAAGUAGCUGAGCAGAUUUCAUCUCAACAGACAAAGCCGAUGGCAGAAGAUGUUUGGAGAAGAACUUCAGGCCGUGGACUGAAAAGUAGAUCAAAGCAGCUCGUGCUCUGUCUGCUUCCAUUCUGAUGGCAAGAAGAAGAAGAAGGAGAAGAAUGCUUCAGCGAAGUGGCGUUCAUGGUCUCAGUGGACAGUCAUGGUCACACACUGCAUGUGGUUUUAAAAGCAACAUGUCUGUUCACCACAACAAUGGAGAUGUGUAAUAUCAGUGCAGCUACAGUUUGUUCUUGAACAUCAGUUCUGUUUUCUACUUUGACCACUUAGACCAAAAAAGUGUUGUUUUCAGAUUCUUUCUUUUUAAAUCUAUAAAGCACCUGCUCAUUUUUUAUUACAAUUAGUUUCACAUAAAUGUUAGUGUUUCCUUUAUGAUCUUUUAAUGCUUACACUACACUGUACACGUCUACAUUAGAGACAUUUCUGUUACCUAUGUAUGAGACUGGGCUGCUUGACUACGAUUUGGAAAUGGAUGCAAAAUCACACGGAUCGUGCUAUUGUUUGUUUUUUAAUAUGAUGGACUGAACACAGGACGUGUCUGACUAAGCAAAGAUUAAUCUGAGCCCAUUUCUACCUGUCUCUGCUGUUUCAACUGUAACUGUCAGGAUAUAUAUUUAUUCCAGCUCUCAUAGGGCAAAGGAAUGACUCAGACGUGUCAAAUGUUCUUUGAUUUGAUACACAAUAUGAAGUUCACAAUUUUCUUACAAAUAAAACUAUAAUGACAAACAUGAA
Long non-coding RNA from Oreochromis niloticus (Nile tilapia), 1639 nucleotides. RefSeq lists it as uncharacterized. Lineage: Eukaryota; Metazoa; Chordata; Actinopteri; Cichliformes; Cichlidae. The transcript has 3 exons. The record is from RefSeq and is a predicted model, not a curated record.